GCUGACCGAGUCCGGCGCCGUUUCCGCCGUCCUCAAGUGCGUUGACUCGGAAGAGCCCCGCCUCCAGGAAAAGGCGCUGACUUUGCUGCUCAAUGUUAGCUUGGACGACGAUAACAAAGUGGGUCUUGUCGCCGAGGGAGCAAUCGCUCGAAUCGUGGAGGUGCUCCAAGGUGGGUCCCCCAACAGCCGCGCCGUGGCGGCGACGAUGUUGACUAGCUUGGCGGUGGUGGAGGUCAACAAGGCCACAAUCGGGGCAUACCCGUGUGCAAUUCGGGCUCUGGUUUCGCUUCUCAGGGACGGCAAGAGUCGAGAGCAGAAGGAGGCGGCGACGGCGCUUUACACCAUCUGUUUGUUCCCGG
Molecule: long non-coding RNA, 359 nt
Filed under: Malus domestica (apple)
Lineage: Eukaryota; Viridiplantae; Streptophyta; Magnoliopsida; Rosales; Rosaceae
Description: long non-coding RNA (MDOM_LNC009737)
Source: RNAcentral